CAGGCUUAACACAUGCAAGUCGAGGGGCAGCAUUUUAGUUUGCUUGCAAACUGAAGAUGGCGACCGGCGCACGGGUGAGUAACACGUAUCCAACCUGCCGAUAACUCCGGAAUAGCCUUUCGAAAGAAAGAUUAAUACCGGAUAGCAUACGAAUAUCGCAUGAUAUUUUUAUUAAAGAAUUUCGGUUAUCGAUGGGGAUGCGUUCCAUUAGUUUGUUGGCGGGGUAACGGCCCACCAAGACAACGAUGGAUAGGGGUUCUGAGAGGAAGGUCCCCCACAUUGGAACUGAGACACGGUCCAAACUCCUACGGGAGGCAGCAGUGAGGAAUAUUGGUCAAUGGGCGAGAGCCUGAACCAGCCAAGUAGCGUGAAGGAUGAAGGCUCUAUGGGUCGUAAACUUCUUUUAUAUGGGAAUAAAGUUUUCCACGUGUGGAAUUUUGUAUGUACCAUAUGAAUAAGGAUCGGCUAACUCCGUGCCAGCAGCCGCGGUAAUACGGAGGAUCCGAGCGUUAUCCGGAUUUAUUGGGUUUAAAGGGAGCGUAGGUGGAUUGUUAAGUCAGUUGUGAAAGUUUGCGGCUCAACCGUAAAAUUGCAGUUGAAACUGGCAGUCUUGAGUACAGUAGAGGUGGGCGGAAUUCGUGGUGUAGCGGUGAAAUGCUUAGAUAUCACGAAGAACUCCGAUUGCGAAGGCAGCUCACUAGACUGUCACUGACACUGAUGCUCGAAAGUGUGGGUAUCAAACAGGAUUAGAUACCCUGGUAGUCCACACAGUAAACGAUGAAUACUCGCUGUUUGCGAUAUACAGUAAGCGGCCAAGCGAAAGCAUUAAGUAUUCCACCUGGGGAGUACGCCGGCAACGGUGAAACUCAAAGGAAUUGACGGGGGCCCGCACAAGCGGAGGAACAUGUGGUUUAAUUCGAUGAUACGCGAGGAACCUUACCCGGGCUUAAAUUGCAACAGAAUAUAUUGGAAACAGUAUAGCCGUAAGGCUGUUGUGAAGGUGCUGCAUGGUUGUCGUCAGCUCGUGCCGUGAGGUGUCGGCUUAAGUGCCAUAACGAGCGCAACCCUUAUCUUUAGUUACUAACAGGUGAUGCUGAGGACUCUAGAGAGACUGCCGUCGUAAGAUGUGAGGAAGGUGGGGAUGACGUCAAAUCAGCACGGCCCUUACGUCCGGGGCUACACACGUGUUACAAUGGGGGGUACAGAAGGCGGCUACCUGGUGACAGGAUGCUAAUCCCAAAAACCUCUCUCAGUUCGGAUCGAAGUCUGCAACCCGACUUCGUGAAGCUGGAUUCGCUAGUAAUCGCGCAUCAGCCAUGGCGCGGUGAAUACGUUCCCGGGCCUCGUACACACCGCCCGUCAAGCCAUGAAAGCCGGGGGUACCUGAAGUACGUAACCAGAAGGAGCGUCCUAGGGUAAAACUGGUAAUUGGGGC
Molecule: ribosomal RNA, 1435 nt
Filed under: uncultured organism
Description: SSU rRNA
Rfam family: Bacterial small subunit ribosomal RNA
Source: RNAcentral